GUAGAGGGGGGUAGAAUUCCAGGUGUAGCGGUGAAAUGCGUAGAGAUCUGGAGGAAUACCGGUGGCGAAGGCGGCCCCCUGGACAAAGACUGACGCUCAGGUGCGAAAGCGUGGGGAGCAAACAGGAUUAGAUACCCUGGUAGUCCACGCCGUAAACGAUGUCUACUUGGAGGUUGUGCCCUUGAGGCGUGGCUUCCGGAGCUAACGCGUUAAGUAGACCGCCUGGGGAGUACGGCCGCAAGGUUAAAACUCAAAUGAAUUGACGGGGGCCCGCACAAGCGGUGGAGCAUGUGGUUUAAUUCGAUGCAACGCGAAGAACCUUAC
RNAcentral lists this ribosomal RNA (324 nucleotides) under Salmonella enterica. RNAcentral describes it as "bacterial SSU rRNA". It matches the Rfam family "Bacterial small subunit ribosomal RNA", at positions 651 to 974 of the family's 1533-position model. Lineage: Bacteria; Pseudomonadati; Pseudomonadota; Gammaproteobacteria; Enterobacterales; Enterobacteriaceae. The record is from RNAcentral. RNAcentral also lists the same sequence under 2 other names.